Molecule: ribosomal RNA, 408 nt
Filed under: uncultured bacterium
Lineage: Bacteria
Description: partial 16S ribosomal RNA
Rfam family: Bacterial small subunit ribosomal RNA
Source: RNAcentral
GACGAACGCUGGCGGCGGGCUUAACACAUGCAAGUCGAACGGAGGGGCGAACGGGUGAGGAAUACGUGGGUAACCGGCCGUCCGUUUUGGGAUAAGCCUUGGAAACGGGGUCUAAUACCGGAUAGAGGGGGAGGGGCUCGCGGCCGAUCGGCGUGUUGGUGGGGGGCUGGCCUACCAAGGCGGUGACGGGUAGCCGGCCUGAGCGGGUGCACGGCAACAUUGGGACUGUGAUACGGCCUAGACUCGUAAGGGAGGCAGCAGGGGGGGAUAUUGGCCAAUGGGUGAAAGACUCAUGCAGCGACGCCGCGUGGGGGAUGAAGGCUGUCGGGUUGUAAACCUCGUUCGCUAGCGAACGGGUAGGUGGAGAAGAAGCGCCGGCUAACUACGUGCCAGCAGCCGCGGUAAUAC